CAGAUACUGGGCGGGACCAGGCAUUCCUACUGUUUUAAAAGCUCCCUUAGGGAUUCUAAUGUUCAACAGGGUUGAGAGAAUUGAUUUGGAGUAAACCCUGUUAUACAGAGUAGUAAGAAAUGUGUAUUUAAAUUUUAAGUGAGAGAGCCAUUUUUUUUUUCAGUUUGAAGUCACCUCAAAAAUCUCAUGAAAUAUUCUGUCCAUUCUUCAAUUAUGACCCAAACCAGGAAUCAAAAGCAGCUGCGAUCACGCUGGGCAUGUGGGAUGAUGAGUCAGUGAUCACAUCUCAGCCUUUGAAAGAGCCUAUCCUUGAUGUGUGACCCUCUUUCCGCAGCGGCCCUCUCUCCAGGUAGCAAAUUCCUGAGCCCACAGGGUCCAUGGAAGAAGCUUGGGAAAUAUGUUUUGUAUGCCUUCCUGGAAAUAACACAACUCCUGAUGCAUAAGUACUUGAAAGUGUGAGUUAUUUUGAAUAUUUUAGAUUAUUAUAUCAGUGGUUUUGUGAAUGUUUAAAUGAAGCCUCUAGGAAAUCAAAAUAAUUAAUCAAAAAAUGAAAAAAUCAUUCAAAUCAUAUUUUCUUCCUAUUAAACCAAACAGUUGACUUGACCAAUUUUUCCCCAUUCAAUACACUAAAAUUGAGUGGGAAAAGAUUAACUAACAAUUGAAGUUUCCAAAAAAGAUGAUUUUACUGGCAACAACUGGGGCAGGCAUUGGAGAACUGUUUUUAUUUGGCAAUGGGCAAAGAGAUAGAAAUUCUCACAGAUGAAAAAUUUCUACCAGCUUCCUAACUAGAUUUCUCAGAACUCAGUGACCAGUCAAGUAAUUUCGAAGAAUAAUAAUUCAUCUGAGCAUGUGCCAUGAAUUUACCAGAUUGAAAGAAACUAAACAGGCCGGUGCCGCAGCUCACUAGGCUAAUCCUCCACCUGCCACACCAGCACACGGGGUUCUAGUCCUGGUUGGGGUGCCGGUUCUGUCCAGGUUGCUCCUCUUCCAAUCCAGCUCUCUGCUGUG
RNAcentral lists this long non-coding RNA (1008 nucleotides) under Oryctolagus cuniculus (rabbit). RNAcentral's name for it is "lncRNA (ENSOCUG00000038675.1)". The record is from RNAcentral. Lineage: Eukaryota; Metazoa; Chordata; Mammalia; Lagomorpha; Leporidae.